RNAcentral lists this ribosomal RNA (455 nucleotides) under uncultured bacterium. RNAcentral describes it as "bacterial SSU rRNA". It matches the Rfam family "Bacterial small subunit ribosomal RNA", at positions 329 to 798 of the family's 1533-position model. The record is from RNAcentral.
UGGCGAACUCCUACGGGAGGCAGCAGUGAGGAAUAUUGGACAAUGGACCAAGAGUCUGAUCCAGCAAUUCUGUGUGCACGAUGACGUUUUUCGGAAUGUAAAGUGCUUUCAGUUGGGAAGAAAAAAAUGACGGUACCAACAGAAGAAGUGACGGCUAAAUACGUGCCAGCAGCCGCGGUAAUACGUAUGUCACAAGCGUUAUCCGGAUUUAUUGGGCGUAAAGCGCGUCUAGGUGGUUAUGUAAGUCUGAUGUGAAAAUGCAGAGCUCAACUCUGUAUUGCGUUGGAAACUGUGUAACUAGAGUACUGGGGAGGUAGGCGGAACUACAAGUGUAGAGGUGAAAUUCGUAGAUAUUUGUAGGAAUGCCGAUGGGGAAGCCAGCUUACUGGACAGAUACUGACGCUAAAGCGCGAAAGCGUGGGUAGCAAACAGGAUUAGAUACCCUUGUAGUCCGA